AUAUAUAAGAGGCACUCUAUAAAAUAUUACAUUCAGUUCAAACCCAUGAUUCAGCAAUAAUAGAGGCCCAUCAGUGUUUUCAAUAAAUCUGUUUUUCUUGGUUGUCCUCACCUAUUAAACACCUUGCCCUCUCUCUCAACUCUCUUCUUUGUAUUUUCCUCUCACAGUUCAUGAAGCGGUUCACAGCUAUGGAACGUCAUUGCCAUUUUACCUUCCUGUUCACUCAUUUAUCUCUGAGGAAAACAAGAUCAUGGAUGGCUGCUUCUGCAUCUUCUGUAGGUUCUGUUUUCCAUAGGUGUUGACAUGACUAAGGAACUCUAGGAGAGACUGUCUGUUAACGAUCUGCAGGCCUUGUAAAACUGGAACAUGGGGUAAAAUAAAAGUGGGCCGAAUACUGAUCCCUGCGGAAUACCACUUGGAAAUCAGAUCCAAACACGCUUGACUGACGUCUUACCCAUAUUCCCACCGUCGGGCACCUGUAUGAUUCUGGCACUGUUUUCCCCUCCACAUUUCAUGGUUAAAUUGUACUGAUCCCUGUGAGAGCCACGCAGUAAUGGCUCAUGAAGAGAAACUGUCUGAAGUAACCAGCCAACAACUGCGGCCAGUUCACCCUGUAGGCCAUUUAUACAGACUUCAUCAAAACAUCGUUUUCCAGUGAGACAAGAACAACUUGAGCUGUAUCUUAAAAAAGGGGGGACAUUCAAAGGUGGAGGAGAUGGCGAGCACUUGUGAGGAUAAAGGAAUCCAUUCGAUAUUGUUUGGAACCUUUGGUUUUCGUGUGUCGGUAAAUAAGAGCAGGGCACAGCCUCUCCGGUGAAUGCUCUUUAGUUCGGACAGAUAAUGAGAGAACACUCUACAUACACACACAGGACCGUGUUGAGCCACUUUAAGUUUGUGAAUUCAGUGUGAAAGACACUGAAUACAGAAAAGGGAACCCAACUGAGAGGUGAGAAGCCAUGCUCAGCUGCUCUGUGUCCCUUAUGACCUGAAAAGUCCUGUUAGGAAACACUUGCUGCCACAAUUCAGUUUUUCUUCCAUAUCAGGAGGUUUAUGACCCUUCUUGCCAUUUUACACAUUAAAACUGUGGUCUAUCUGCAUCUGCUUUCCAAAAAUAACAUUUGUUUGGCUGCAUAAUUAGCUGGCCAAAUAUUUGUGCUGACUAAUUUGUCGAAGUAUUCUCCUGAUGCGUAAUCCAUUAGCUCCCAUCAGGUGCCUUUGUCUCCAAUCCAAAUGAGCCAUUUGCAUUUCCUUUGUUAUUUAAAUCGUGCAUUUCCUCCAAACUGUGAGAAUUAACUUCCUAAUGAACUUCACACAAAAGAGAAGGGACCUCAAUUACAAACUCUCUCCUCAGGCUAACGUAAUGAUGCGAACAAGAGAGACACUUGUCAUGAUUAGGGGAGUAUCGUGAGCUGGAGAAUAGGCCACGGGAAGAGAUCAGCAGGACUGAUGCUGAUGGAUUACUCACAAGCAAGGAUUCCAACAGCCUUUGAGUAACAAGGCGUGACAUUUAAGUCUGUCUAAGCAUGAAAAGAUAGUUUUGGGAAAAUGCAACAUGACGUGGUUUUUCAGGCAAGAGAUGAGUCAAAAAAAAAAAACCUUGAUUUUGACAUCAACAAAAUGUUUAUGGG
Molecule: long non-coding RNA, 1628 nt
Organism: Sinocyclocheilus grahami
Lineage: Eukaryota; Metazoa; Chordata; Actinopteri; Cypriniformes; Cyprinidae
Exons: 4
Source: RefSeq, a predicted model, not a curated record